GCUGGAAUGAAGCCCCCUGAGGCAGCAAUCAGCAGUCGCUGCGUACAGCGACCCACAGAUCAAACGUCAGUGGCCUGAGGCUCUUUGAGGCCCUCAGGUUGAGAUAUGACCGGUCUUGCUCUGCACCGAGCAAGAGGACAACGUUCCGUAGGUGAACCUGCGGAAGGAUCAUUAUCGAGAUUUUGGGCCCUAACCGGGCCCAAGCCUCCACCCUUGUAGAAACACUCAGUUGCUUUGGCAGGAAGGCACUGCACCCCCAGGGGUUCCCUGUGGGUGGCCACCGCCUGUCAUUCGCUCCCAAAUCACCCGUUUCAACUUAAGUGUCAGCAGUGAACUAGAAAUUUAUUUUAAAAAACUUUCAACAACGGAUCUCUUGGUUCUGGCAUCGAUGAAGAACGCAGCGAAAUGCGAUAAGUAAUGUGAAUUGCAGAAUUCAGUGAAUCAUCAAAUCUUUGAACGCACAUUGCACCCUCUGGUAUUCCGGGGGGUAUGCCUGUUCGAGCGUCAUUGUACCUCUCAAGCUUAGCUUGGUCUUGGGCCUCCAUUCUAGGGAGCCCCAAAGCUAGUGGCGGGGUCACCGAAGCUCAGGCGUAGUAAAUCACCCGCCUUGGAGUCUUCCGUGGGCCUGCCAGGAACCUAUUCACCAAUGAUUGACCUCGGAUCAGGUAGGGAUACCCGCUGAACUUAAGCAUAUCA
RNAcentral lists this ribosomal RNA (696 nucleotides) under Gyalectaria diluta. RNAcentral describes it as "eukaryotic LSU rRNA". The stretch from base 354 to 507 matches the Rfam family "5.8S ribosomal RNA". The record is from RNAcentral. Lineage: Eukaryota; Fungi; Ascomycota; Lecanoromycetes; Pertusariales; Coccotremataceae.